AACGAACGCUUGCGGCGCGCCUAAUACAUGCAAGUCGAACGAGGUAGCAAUACCAAGUGGCGCACGGGUGAGUAACACGUGGAUAAUGUGCCAUUCAGUGGGGAAUAACCAACCGAAAGGUUGGCUAAUACCGCAUGAGACCACAGUCCCUGAGGGGACAGAGGUUAAAGAUUUAUCGCUGAAUGAUCAGUCUGCGUAAGAUUAGCUAGUUGGUGAGGUAACGGCUCACCAAGGCAACGAUCUUUAGGUGGUCUGAGAGGAUGACCACCACACUGGGACUGAGACACGGUCCAGACACCUACGGGUGGCAGCAGUCGAGAAUUUUUCUCAAUGGGGGAAACCCUGAAGGAGCGACGCCGCGUGAGGGAUGAAGGGCUUUCGGCCCGUAAACCUCUGUCAUUUGCGAAACAAGUGUCAUGGUUGAACAUUCCAUGUAUUUGAUUGUAGCGAAAGAGGAAGGGACGGCUAACUCUGUGCCAGCAGCCGC
This 487-nucleotide ribosomal RNA is filed under the name uncultured bacterium. Its description in RNAcentral is "bacterial SSU rRNA". It matches the Rfam family "Bacterial small subunit ribosomal RNA", at positions 29 to 518 of the family's 1533-position model. The record is from RNAcentral.